Molecule: ribosomal RNA, 233 nt
Filed under: uncultured bacterium
Lineage: Bacteria
Description: partial 16S ribosomal RNA
Rfam family: Bacterial small subunit ribosomal RNA
Source: RNAcentral
CUCGGAAUCACUGGGCGUAAAGGGUGCGUAGGCGGGUCUUUAAGUCAGGGGUGAAAUCCUGGAGCUCAACUCCAGAACUGCCUUUGAUACUGAAGAUCUUGAGUUCGGGAGAGGUGAGUGGAACUGCGAGUGUAGAGGUGAAAUUCGUAGAUAUUCGCAAGAACACCAGUGGCGAAGGCGGCUCACUGGCCCGAUACUGACGCUGAGGCACGAAAGCGUGGGGAGCAAACAGG